RNAcentral lists this ribosomal RNA (438 nucleotides) under Goniomonas pacifica. Its description in RNAcentral is "partial Eukaryotic large subunit ribosomal RNA". It matches the Rfam family "Eukaryotic large subunit ribosomal RNA", at positions 1 to 444 of the family's 3401-position model. The record is from RNAcentral. Lineage: Eukaryota; Cryptophyceae; Goniomonadida; Goniomonadaceae.
GACCUCGGAUCAGGUAGGAAUACCCGCUGAACUUAAGCAUAUCAAUAAGCGGAGGAAAAGAAACUAACCAGGAUUCCCCCAGUAACGGCGAGUGAAGCGGGAAGAGCUCAAUAUUGUAAUCGCUUUGGCGAAUUGUAGUCUUGGGAGGGUGUGACCAUCUGGGGCCCCGGUCCAAGUGUCCUUGGAAGAGGUCGUCAUGGAGGGUGACAACCCCGUCUGUGGCUGGGUGCCCCCAGAGUACGGUCUGCUCUCACAGAGUCGAGUUGCUUGGGAUUGCAGCUCAAAGCGGGUGGUAAAUUCCAUCUAAAGCUAAAUAUGGGUGGGAGACCGAUAGCGAACAAGUACCGUGAGGGAAAGAUGAAAAGAACUUUGAAAAGAGAGUCAAACAGUGCUUGAAAUUGCUGAAAGGGAACCGAAGGAGACCAGUGUUGGCGCUGU